This 485-nucleotide ribosomal RNA is filed under the name uncultured bacterium. RNAcentral describes it as "bacterial SSU rRNA". It matches the Rfam family "Bacterial small subunit ribosomal RNA", at positions 33 to 507 of the family's 1533-position model. The record is from RNAcentral.
GACGACGCUGGCGGCGUGGAUUAGGCAUGCAAGUCGAACGGUAUCAUCCUUUCGGGGGUGAGAGAGUGGCGAACUGGUGAGUAACACGUAGGUUAUCUACCCUCAAGACGGGACAACCCAGGGAAACUUGGGCUAAUACCGGAUGUGAGCAACUUUUAGUUGUUUGAAAGGUGGCGUAAGCUGUCGCUUGGGGAUGAGCCUGCGUCCUAUUAGUUAGUUGGUGAGGUAACGGCUCACCUAGGCAAUGAUAGGUAGGCGGCCUUAACGGGUGGUCGCCCACACUGGGAUUGAGAUACGGCCCAGACUCCUACGGGAGGCAGCAGUCGAGAAUAGUCUACAAUGGUCGGAAGACUGAUAGUGCGACGUCGCGUGAACGAUGAAUCCCUUCGGGGUGUAAAGUUCUUUUAUAUGUGAGCAGUGCUUCUUAUAUUAACAGUAUGGGGAGAGAGAUAUUAGCAUAUGAAUAAGCAACGGCUAACUCCGUG